UACGUAGGGUGCGAGCGUUAAUCGGAAUUACUGGGCGUAAAGCGUGCGCAGGCGGUUAUGUAAGACAGAUGUGAAAUCCCCGGGCUCAAUCUGGGAACUGCAUUUGUGACUGCAUAGCUAGAGUACGGUAGAGGGGGAUGGAAUUCCGCGUGUAGCAGUGAAAUGCGUAGAUAUGCGGAGGAACACCGAUGGCGAAGGCAAUCCCCUGGACCUGUACUGACGCUCAUGCACGAAAGCGUGGGGAGCAAACAGG
This 253-nucleotide ribosomal RNA is filed under the name uncultured bacterium. RNAcentral describes it as "partial 16S ribosomal RNA". It matches the Rfam family "Bacterial small subunit ribosomal RNA", at positions 524 to 776 of the family's 1533-position model. The record is from RNAcentral.